UACGGAGGGUGCAAGCGUUAAUCGGAAUUACUGGGCGUAAAGCGCGCGUAGGUGGCUGAGUAAGAUGGGUGUGAAAUCCCCGGGCUUAACCUGGGAACUGCAUCCGUAACUGCUCGGCUAGAGUACGGUAGAGGGUGGUGGAAUUUCCUGUGUAGCGGUGAAAUGCGUAGAUAUAGGAAGGAACACCAGUGGCGAAGGCGACCACCUGGACUGAUACUGACACUGAGGUGCGAAAGCGUGGGGAGCAAGCAGG
Molecule: unclassified non-coding RNA, 253 nt
Filed under: uncultured Pseudomonadaceae bacterium
Lineage: Bacteria; Pseudomonadati; Pseudomonadota; Gammaproteobacteria; Pseudomonadales; Pseudomonadaceae
Description: contains 16S-23S intergenic spacer region
Rfam family: Bacterial small subunit ribosomal RNA
Source: RNAcentral